This 648-nucleotide ribosomal RNA is filed under the name uncultured bacterium. RNAcentral's name for it is "bacterial SSU rRNA". It matches the Rfam family "Bacterial small subunit ribosomal RNA", at positions 140 to 805 of the family's 1533-position model. The record is from RNAcentral.
GGGAUAACAGUUGGAAACGACUGCUAAUACCGCAUAAGCGCACAGGAUCGCAUGAUCCGGUGUGAAAAACUCCGGUGGUAUGAGAUGGACCCGCGUCUGAUUAGCCAGUUGGCAGGGUAACGGCCUACCAAAGCGACGAUCAGUAGCCGACCUGAGAGGGUGACCGGCCACAUUGGGACUGAGACACGGCCCAAACUCCUACGGGAGGCAGCAGUGGGGAAUAUUGCACAAUGGGGGGAACCCUGAUGCAGCGACGCCGCGUGAGCGAAGAAGUAUUUCGGUAUGUAAAGCUCUAUCAGCAGGGAAGAAGAAUGACGGUACCUGACUAAGAAGCACCGGCUAAAUACGUGCCAGCAGCCGCGGUAAUACGUAUGGUGCAAGCGUUAUCCGGAUUUACUGGGUGUAAAGGGAGCGCAGGCGGUGCGGCAAGUCUGAUGUGAAAGCCCGGGGCUCAACCCCGGUACUGCAUUGGAAACUGUCGUACUAGAGUGUCGGAGGGGUAAGUGGAAUUCCUAGUGUAGCGGUGAAAUGCGUAGAUAUUAGGAGGAACACCAGUGGCGAAGGCGGCUUACUGGACGAUAACUGACGCUGAGGCUCGAAAGCGUGGGGAGCAAACAGGAUUAGAUACCCUGGUAGUCCACGCCGUAA